Arachis ipaensis is the source of this 749-nucleotide non-coding RNA. NCBI's taxonomy places the organism in Eukaryota, Viridiplantae, Streptophyta, Magnoliopsida, Fabales, Fabaceae. The record is from RefSeq and is a predicted model, not a curated record.
CCCCCAAACUCACCGCCCUAAUUCCCAAUUCCUUUCCCUGUUAACUCACCACCACCUACUCUACUCUCCGUUGGUCUCAGCAUUUGCCGUCGCCGUCCAGCUGAGCCGUCGCCGUUACCGUCCAAUCCAUCUCCCAGUGUCGUUCGUAGGCUCUCCCUCACCGUCUCCUCUUCUCUCUUCUCUCUUCUCUCAUCAAGUGGUCGUCAGUGUCGUGGUGCUCCGUCUCCCCUUUCAUCCUCCACUUCCACAGUAACAAUGGAGCCUCAAACUCAGACUUUAAAUCAUCAACUGGACAAACUGUAAUGCAAACACACUUUCAACCGAUUUGUGAGAAGAAUUAUGGGUGAGUUUGAAGAGCAGGUGAAGGAGAGAGCCAAGGAGCUAAAGCAUCUGAUUCAAAAGGGAGUCAAGUUUGUGGGAGAUUCAUGCAAGAAAGGCUGGAACAAAGUCAAGCAUAUCAAACGCUGAUUCAGUCUCAUCUCCUCAUGUGAAUCCCAAAAGUAGUCUCACAUUAUUAUUUGAUUUGAUUUGGUUUGUUUUUGUUCCAUCCCCUGUUGGAGAAUAUAAUUUUGGGCUAUCUGAUUUGUUUCUUUUCCUCUCAUAUGUAAGAAAAUCUGUUGUUAUAUAUAAAUAGAUAGAUACCUUUCUUUUUGUAUUAUUUCUGUUAUGUAGAACUUGUUUCAAAGAUCUUGUUGUUUCUGUUUGUUCAGUUUAAUUCUGUACACACUCAAGUCUCAACAUUCCAACUU